GCAUUGGUGGUUCAGUGGUAGAAUUCUCACCUUCCGUUAAGGCGACUCAGGUUCCAUUCCUGGCCAAAGCA
This 71-nucleotide transfer RNA is filed under the name Loxodonta africana (African savanna elephant). It matches the Rfam family "tRNA". From Rfam's summary of the family: Transfer RNA (tRNA) molecules are approximately 80 nucleotides in length. Lineage: Eukaryota; Metazoa; Chordata; Mammalia; Proboscidea; Elephantidae. The record is from Rfam by way of RNAcentral.